Long non-coding RNA from Trifolium pratense (red clover), 5226 nucleotides. RefSeq lists it as uncharacterized. NCBI's taxonomy places the organism in Eukaryota, Viridiplantae, Streptophyta, Magnoliopsida, Fabales, Fabaceae. The transcript has 6 exons. The record is from RefSeq and is a predicted model, not a curated record.
CAUCCCAACUUUGAUAAAAGGGAAAAUUAUUAGUUAGAGCUAUAGACUUAUGUUUAUUAAAGUGCUUCAUAUAUGGAGGUGAUUUAUGUUAAAUGGUAAUUGAAGGACAAGUUGGUAAUUUGAGCAUGAAGAGUAUUUAAUUGCCUAACCACUCCAAGAUCACUCAUUUUCUAUCCAAUUCAUUUCUCAGUAACCAUUCCAAUACUCCCUCUUCUCUCUCACGCCUUCUCACUCACACUCUAACCAUUCUCUUCAAUUCAAGCUUUGAACCAAGGAAAGGAAGCAUGGAUUCUUACAUGCAAUCAUGGUAGCAACUUCUCUAGUCAUAAGUAAACAAGAGCUUGUAUGUGAGUUAUAGUAGCCAAGGAGUCAUGGGUUCAUGUUUGAAGCUUGAAGUCUUGAUUGGUGACUUUUGAAAGAGAUUGUGUUGAAUUUCGUUUUUGGAUAUUCUUUCAGAAAAACAGUAAGUACUCCUUCCCUGCAACUCCAACCGAGUUAAUUCUUUAAGUUCUGUAAAGCUAACGAAUUUACCCUCGUUGGCAUAUCAAAUUUUAUCGGAUUCGGAGUUACAAUGCAUUAUGUAGGUGAUGUUUAAGUUGAAGAUACGAAACAGGAUUUCUGCAGAAAAUGUGUUUGGACAGUGCUGCACUUAAAGGUUAACUGCGCCCUCUCUAUAACUCGGUUUGAUAUUCCGUUUGCUUCUAUGGAUAGCUAACUCGAUUACGGUCGCUAUGGUUCCGGUUUUGUGAAUUUUCAAUAAGGGAUGAGGUCUGUAUGAAUUUUUGAAGUUGAUGCUCCAAUGCAGUAUUCUGCAGAAAGUUAUGGGUACGGGUUUGAAGCAUUUCGAUUGCAAUUAUGCAUAUCGGCGAGCUCUGGAAAUGACAAUGGUUUUGUUCAAGCGUAGUUGCAGAUAAGCAGGUUGUUCGAGGAUCGAGGCCUUGAGGCAUGAAGAUUCGGAUACGUGGAUUAUGUUAUGAAGCUGACGUUAUGUUAACCUUAUAUUUGUAUAAGAUUCGGUUCAUUUAUGUUCAGUUGUUAGCUCGAUCAUGUAUUCAUUUGUUGGAUUUUGUAAUCCUAUUCACGUAUUUGGUCUUUGUGUAAAUGAAAUUAAUGUUUCUCGAUUCAGUUAUGUUCACUCUUGUCGCUAUUCUAGAUAAAUCGACAAGGGGUGUUAUAAUUGGUAUCAGAGCAGGUCGAUUCAGUAUCGGACCUUGCCGCGGAUCAUUAAAAUUCAAUCUGAAGUAGUACGGACCCUUUGGAGUCUGGACUGUUUACGCUGAAAUCAUCGCGUGCUGAGCCCGAUCAACUCAGUAUCGUGUAUGGUAGGCAGGGUAUUACGGUCGAGAACCGAAGUGGACCAAGGAGGUCGAGUAGUAAGAACGAAGUAGAAGCGCGAACUCCGAUGGAAGUAUGAAUGGAGACCGUUAGAAGCGGAUAUUGUAAACAGCGGCGGUCGACGGCACAAAAGUAAGUUGAGUAACGCCAACAAGUGGCACGCAUAAUUGGGAAUAGUAUUUGGCGUAAUACCAGUAGUAAGAGGCAUGUCCAGAAAUGCACGAAUCGGACGCGCUUAACUGACAGUAGCAAGUUUAAGGAUACUGAGAAUUAUAGGAAUGGAAACACGGUAUAUAAGUAAGCUUUGACCGGAGUGGAACCGAGAUUGAGUAUUGAAGUAUGAAAACUGGAAAAUUGUAGUAAGUCUGACGGGUACAUUAGUACAGAUGAUAGGGUCAUGAGAAUGGCGCAUAGUAUAAAUUGGAGUGUGGUAUAACAGUAAUAUCCAACCGACACGUGUGUAUUGUGUGGACCUAAUUACAAGGGGCACCUUAAUUCAAAUAAGACUUAUCAGAAGUCGGUGAACCAAACUCUUUCAAAUCCGUCUAACCUUCAUUUCAGCUUAGUAGUUUUCCCCUAGUGACAUAGGUCAACUAAUUACACUAUCGGAGAAAGAUAAACUAGACUUCAUGCAAUCCCUUAGUUCCUAAUAUCAGCCUGUUGUACCAUUUUCGUAGAAUAAGAACACUAAUUGUUCCCAGCAAGAUAAGUUCAGCCUCUCAGUUCAUAACUAGUAUCCUAGUCAGACCCAUAACAAGCAAGUUUUGUUUGAGUAAUGACUAGAAUUAAUACUAAUACUAUCAGUUACCUAAGCCGGCAUAUUAAGUGUCAUUAUCAAUGAUUUAAGAACAAGUAAUGCAGUUUUGUAUUAGCAUCAAGAAGUCACUGAAAAAUUUUCUGUAUUCAAACCUCUCAACUAAUAACUCAACAUACUCGAUUAAACCUUUUGUAAGAGUUUAUCAACUAAGUUCUAAUGAGAAUCAGGUUUGUCCCAAUUCCAGAGAUUAGUCGGUUAAGAGAAAUCAUAAUGUAUGAACAUAAUGCAAUAGAAUUAUGAUCUUCAGUUACCUACCCUUUCACUUGAACUCUAAUUCUGCUAAAUUUAUCAAAUUGAUGCGAUGCAUGAUCCAUAAUCAGCAAACCUUAUUAAGUUAUGAACAUUACGUUCCCCAUGCCUAUUUAAUCAUGAUAAGAGGGAGAUAAAUUCUUCCGGUACAUUGAGACCUAUCACUUACAUUUAAUGCAAGAAUUCAAUUAAGUUAUGUACCAUUGUACCUUCUAAUUCCUCAGUAUCAGCGAAUUGGAUUCAUGUUUAGAGUGUUAUCCUUAUGCAACUUUGACGAAGUGUCUUCAGCUUUCCAACUUUGUUAUUAUAACUUAGUUCGGGCCUAUGUAAGUUUGAGUUGCUUGUUAAGAGUAAUGAGUCGUGUUUCGUUAAGGACUAUCAGUUAUACAUGUCGACCUUAAGAGCAGUAACAUUAUGUUUAUCACCAAGAAAUUCUCCAAUCUUUUAGCAUCAUUACCGAGGACCGGUUCAUAAUCACAGAAGUCAAAUUAGCAAUUAAGUUCAAACUCUCGCUCGUCUUGUUAACCUGUCAAGCAGCAUGGUUAAGGUACCACGAACGUUGGAAACGUUAUUGCAAUCAAUUAAGUUCAUCUUUCUUUAUAAGGUCUUACCAUCUCAAUUUGGAUAAAAAUCCAAAACCAUCCAGAGAUGUAAGAAGUAACCUCGAUGAACAUCGAUGGAAUGAGAAAAUCGUAAGCGCUAUGCGACAAGGAGAUUUUUGGAUUAAUCGGCGAUGAUAUUCAAGCUUAUACCCUUAAGAUAACCUAAUGAAGUUUGUGGAGUAAUAAAGUAACGGCCGAGAACAAUAGAUGUAGUAAUACUAAAAGGAUAUUAAUUGUGGCUGAGGUUGGUGAAGUGAUAAGUUAAAUAGAAAUCAAUUCGCUAAGAAUAUCACUGAUCAAGUAAAGGUCGCUGUUGGAACAACUCAGUUAUUACUAUCAAAUGUAAUGGUAAGAGGAGACAUAUGCCACACGAUGAGAAGACUAUGAGUAGGAGAUAAUAGUAAGUGAUAAAAAGUAAAGUGUUGCAGACAUGUUAGAUGGUUGUAAAGUAUUAUGUAUACAGUGGUGCGCCUGUCGUCACGAAACGAUGCAAGUGUUGUUUUGUGAUAUCUUUGGUACGAGAAGUAAUAAUAAAAGCAAUAACACCGGAUAAGAUGAGACGAUGUGUGACAAUGUCAGGGAAUUUGUAGACCAAGACUGUAAUGACGCGUAGAGAGAAUGCCAGUAAGUAGUCGAAUCAGAGUGCGCAGCUGGGAAGUGGUUGAGAAUGUAGUUAGUAGAUUCACUUGUAGGUCAACAACUCUUUGAGAGAGGAAAGUUUUAUUCCAAAGAAUUGAAAGUGGGGAACCAUAAAAUGAUUAAAGAUCGUAUGACGAGUAAGUUACACAAAUGUUCAUGUUUGGACCUGAGAUUGUUAGUAUAGAAUACCCUUGAGAAUCAAGUUUGUGAUGGUAAAACGGUUCACUUGAGAAGUUUGACGCGGUGAACUAGUAAGAUUAAGUAUGCUUCGGCGUUGUAUUGAAAAGUGAAAAAGAAGAAAAGUUGCUCCGUGAGCGUUUAAGCUGAGGAAAAGUAACAGAGGGAGCUAAUAUAAGAUGAGUGUGUAUCUAAAAGUUGUAUUAUGGGCUGAGAUUAUGAGUUCAACUUCAUGGAAUAAACGAGUAGGAUUUCCAAAAGUAUCAUAAGUGAACGCCAACGCAGUGAAGAAUGACGAUUACUAACCUUGAAUGAUAAAUCAUGAUCAAUUAAGAAACGAAAUCCAAAAUCUGGAAAUGGAUUAUAGGAAAUGUACUAUGUGAUGAAUGAAGAAGUUCUUGAAUUUCGCGGACGAAAUUCUUUUAAGGGGGAUAGAUUGUAACAUCCCAACUUUGAUAAAAGGGAAAAUUAUUAGUUAGAGCUAUAGACUUAUGUUUAUUAAAGUGCUUCAUAUAUGGAGGUGAUUUAUGUUAAAUGGUAAUUGAAGGACAAGUUGGUAAUUUGAGCAUGAAGAGUAUUUAAUUGCCUAACCACUCCAAGAUCACUCAUUUUCUAUCCAAUUCAUUUCUCAGUAACCAUUCCAAUACUCCCUCUUCUCUCUCACGCCUUCUCACUCACACUCUAACCAUUCUCUUCAAUUCAAGCUUUGAACCAAGGAAAGGAAGCAUGGAUUCUUACAUGCAAUCAUGGUAGCAACUUCUCUAGUCAUAAGUAAACAAGAGCUUGUAUGUGAGUUAUAGUAGCCAAGGAGUCAUGGGUUCAUGUUUGAAGCUUGAAGUCUUGAUUGGUGACUUUUGAAAGAGAUUGUGUUGAAUUUCGUUUUUGGAUAUUCUUUCAGAAAAACAGUAAGUACUCCUUCCCUGCAACUCCAACCGAGUUAAUUCUUUAAGUUCUGUAAAGCUAACGAAUUUACCCUCGUUGGCAUAUCAAAUUUUAUCGGAUUCGGAGUUACAAUGCAUUAUGUAGGUGAUGUUUAAGUUGAAGAUACGAAACAGGAUUUCUGCAGAAAAUGUGUUUGGACAGUGCUGCACUUAAAGAAAGUUAUGGGUACGGGUUUGAAGCAUUUCGAUUGCAAUUAUGCAUAUCGGCGAGCUAUGGAAAUGACAAUGGUUUUGUUCAAGCGUAGUUGCAGAUAAGCAGGUUGUUCGAGGAUCGAGGCCUUGAGGCAUGAAGAUUCGGAUACGUGGAUUAUGUUAUGAAGCUGACGUUAUGUUAACCUUAUAUUUGUAUAAGAUUCGGUUCAUUUAUGUUCAGUUGUUAGCUCGAUCAUGUAUUCAUUUGUUGGAUUUUGUAAUCCUAUUCACGUAUUUGGUCUUUGUGUAAAUGAAAUUAAUGUUUCUCGAUUCA